Papaver somniferum (opium poppy) is the source of this 456-nucleotide long non-coding RNA. RefSeq lists it as uncharacterized. The record is from RefSeq and is a predicted model, not a curated record. Lineage: Eukaryota; Viridiplantae; Streptophyta; Magnoliopsida; Ranunculales; Papaveraceae. The transcript has 3 exons.
GUUUAGAUACAGGGCAACAUGAAGAAAAAAAAACCGGGCCAAAAGGAGAUUUUGGCAUCUUUACGAAUCAUAGUCUUUACAAAUCAUAAUCCUGGGAGCUAGUUAGCUGAUCAGGAGCCUGAUUCUCGCAUUUGAGAUUUUUGAGUAAAGGCUGCAGUAAAAGAUUUUUGAUCGCAACUCAGACUUUUGAAGGAGGACGAGCAGGACAGUCAGCAUGCUCAGAUCCACAAGAAGCAGAGGCUAUAUGAGUUCUUCAGGUAGCAAUUUGUGUUAAGGAGAAACAAUUUCAAAAUUUUAGUAUUGAAGGUGAAUGUGAAAGUAUUUUCAACUUCUUCCAUGGGAAGAGUUCUCACAUCUCUUGGCGUCCUAAAGCAUGUCUCAGUGAAGCAAACACGAUAAUUAAUCUAUGUUUUAAUUUUUUGGGAUUUCAUUUUGUUCCUCGACUAGGAAAUAGGG